ACAGAGGUCCCGGGCGUUGUUCGGAUUCACUGGGCGUAAAGGGUGCGUAGGCGGCUUAGCAAGUCUGAUGUGAAAGCCCGGGGCUCACCCCCGGAAGUGCAUUGGAUACUGGCGGACUCGAGUCCCGGAGAGGAGGGUGGAAUUCCUGGUGUAGCGGUGAAAUGCGUAGAUAUCAGGAGGAACACCGGUGGCGAAGGCGGCAUCCUGGACCGGCAUUGACGCUGAGGCGCGAAAGCCAGGGGAGCAAACGGGA
Molecule: ribosomal RNA, 253 nt
Filed under: uncultured prokaryote
Description: partial 16S ribosomal RNA
Rfam family: Bacterial small subunit ribosomal RNA
Source: RNAcentral